This 1400-nucleotide long non-coding RNA is filed under the name Homo sapiens (human). RNAcentral's name for it is "HSALNT0303295". Lineage: Eukaryota; Metazoa; Chordata; Mammalia; Primates; Hominidae. The record is from RNAcentral.
GCCCCUCCCCCAGCUUCUCUGCGGCCUUGCAGUUUGAUCUCAGACUGCUGUGCUAGCAAUCAGCGAGACUCCGCGGGCGUAGGACCCUCCGAGCCAGGUGCGGCAGAUAAUCUCCUAGUGCGCCGUUUUUUAAGCCCGUCAGAAAAGCGCAGUAUUCGGGUGGGAGUGACCUGAUUUUCCAGGUGCCGUCUGUCACCACUUUCUUUGACUAGGAAAGGGAACUCCCUGACCCCUUGCGCUUCCCAAGUGAGGCAAUGCCUCGCCCUGCUUUGGCUCGCGCACAGUGCGCGCACCCACUGACCUGCGCCCACUGUCUGGCACUCCCUAGUGAGAUGAACCCGGUACCUCAGAUGGAAAUGCAGAAAUCACCCAUCUUCUGCGUCGCUCACGCUGGUAGCUGUAGACCGGAGCUGUUCCUAUUCGGCCAUCUUGGCUCCUCCUCAAUUUUUGUAUAUAGUGAAAGUGCUUCAGAGGUACAGUCCUUUUCCAAGAACCACCGCCAUGCCAUUGCCACUGGUACCUCUCCUCACUCAACUCCUCUCCUGGUGGUGCUUUGAAGAUGGCUGGAACUCUAGUCUUUACUCAGCUACUAAAGUUGGCUGUCUUCCAGCAGCCUUCCCAACUCCUGCUGAAAGAAGGAAAAAGGUAGAAAGGAACAUGUGAGAUGGUAGAGAGACGUGCACUGUUCAAUGUAACUCCACAUCUUCAGCAAAUCCUGUUAAACUAAAAAAAAAUGAUGCUGACUUCUAAGUCCAGGUGAAUGCACGACAGAGACAACACAUGCAGAUUCAGGAGCCAUUGGCGGGGAAUACCAGGAGAAUAACUCCUGGAAAUGCACAAAAAUCAUAAGGAGGGCUUUGGAUUUCAAGGCUUUGGAAUUGGAAGUUUUGCAUCAAGUUUACAUGUAUCUCCAGGACAGCUGAUAUUGGAUACUCAUUUAAAAGAAGACUUUUCAGUACCCAGUUGGAAAUAAAGCUUUAGAAUCCAAGUAUCCCUGAGGGAGAUGACUCUGGCAAAAAUGCACACUGAGGUAUAAAGAACUCAUGCCAUUCAAAAGCCUUAUUCAAAAGUACAUGUGGGAGGGCAGCAGGAAUCUGAAGUAGAAGAGGAGAAGAGAUGCUGGUAUGGGAAGGGAGGUGGUGAGAAGGAAGGCAUAUCUGCAACUGGGCCAAUUAAAAUGUGCAGCAUGUACAGGAGGUGGGAGAAUAAUCAAAUGAAUAACAAGUAUUAACUUUUCUGUAUUGCUAAGUUGUAAACUUAAAGGAGACAUUUUAAAAGGAUCUUAAAUUCUGUUCCUCAAUCUCAGUGACAUGAGAUAAUAUGCAUAUUGCUACAUCUUUUCUUUUUAAUGACCUAUAAAAGCAAUCAGGUGUGAGAACUUGAAAUUUUGUGAUCUGUUA